RNAcentral lists this unclassified non-coding RNA (1743 nucleotides) under Leishmania donovani. Its description in RNAcentral is "gene:unknown". Lineage: Eukaryota; Euglenozoa; Kinetoplastea; Trypanosomatida; Trypanosomatidae. The record is from RNAcentral.
GAACCGCGUCAACCAGCACCGUUGGGCGCCGUUAAGGCCCACUGCAUACGGUGCAGGCUAGGUCCAGGCUUACACUCCACAUCACCGCGACGCAGCUAAAGCAGAAAAGCAGUAGGCGGAUGCGUACAUUUGCUGAAUCGCCGACACGAUUCGUAGUGAGCUGGCCCAAGCGUGAUCAUCACCGCAAGCCACUUCAGCACCGCGCCAGCCCAGACCUGUCCGCCGGCACCAAAAGUCCGCAGCCGUACCCGAGGGCAGGCUGUGCAGGCCCUUGGCGCCCCCAGGGAAUGGUCACUGAACCCUGAUACCACACUGAGGUGGCCGGCAUCAUCAGGAUGAGAAGGAAAGGGACCAAACAUCACAGGGCAUCGCCGCUGACGGGAAUGCACAGGCGCAGAGCCGUGAGUGACAGGUCUGCAUGACCCUUUCUUUUUUUCACCUGCUCAAGCGACCUUCUUUCGUUGCACCCAGGAGAACUGCAUCCUUUGCGUGUCCGCCUCGUCGCCUCUCCUCAUCGCACCGGCCUGCUGGUUUGUAGGGCGUGUGCCACGCCCAACGUACUUUGCUCAUCGACGUAUUGGACUCUGCACGCGUACAUGCAUGUAUAUGUAUCGAUGCAGUGACCUCGUGUCUUGCACAUCCCUCUCUCUCUCGUAUCAGGUCCAACGGGCACUCCGUGGAGACUGGCGGAGCUUCUGAACCGACUCCGCCCAACUUCACCGUGUUGUCGACACCACCGCCACCGCAGCUGAAGGAGGGAUGGGAGUGACGAGACCACUCACUGUUCCCUGAGGUGUCUGUGUGCAUGUGCGCUGGAGAGCCGGCGUCCAUCGCCGCUGGCUUCUUUCUUCUGAUGAACACGUAUAUGCACACGCUGAGAGGUUUCUCAUCCCCUCUCCUGGCGGUGUACAGCUUGCUCAGGCUCGGCUGUGAAGCCACACUCACGCGCACUAAAAAUGAAAACAGCAACAUGGAGCACAUGUUAUGCGCUGUGUUGACCGCACGUGUCCCCGCCUCUUCUGUUCGUGCUCCGCCUCCUUCCUAUUUCUUCACGCCUGUUGCGGCUGGUGCGGAGGCCUCUGUCGCAGCCCUCUUGCUUGUUACGCUCUGCGGCGAAACGCGCCCUGCCUUGCUCUGUCGUGAAACACUUCGUGAACGGCACGCACACAUCGCAAACAACAUCAACGCAAAAGGGAGGCUCAGGCGAUGAUCACCGUAGGCGAGUCUGAAGGAAACGAAAAGAGGACAUCGCCGGCGGUGGGCGCCAAGAACCUGCUGGAGCCAGACUGGCGGAGGGGGGGGCGGCUGGCUGGCUAGCGGAAGGAAGAAAGCACCUGGAGAAGGAAUAGGCAAGGUGGGGUUGGGGGUCAGGAAAGUGCCAUGCCCUCUCCCCUCCUCCUCCUCUUCCCUCCUUCCUUCUCCUCGCACCUGUUGCUCAGCGCCUCAAGAACGCCCAGCAGUUGCGUUCUUGCUUUGGUGCAUGUGCGCACAAGAAGAGCAACAACGGAAGGAAAACGAAAGACACUUCAGGAAAGGAUGGCCAGCACGUAACUUGGCGCUCUACCAUGCUUGUGCCGUGCUUCUCUGGGGUGCUCUCCUCACCUUCUUUGGGCUCUCAACCUCCUUCAUUCCGUCCCGUCCCGCCCCGGUCCCGCCGCCUUUCUCGUCACUCAUUUUACUUGUCACUUCCUCUCCUCUCUCACACUUCGCGUGUCUCUCCCGACGCCCACGUUUGCGCCAAAG